Molecule: ribosomal RNA, 403 nt
Filed under: uncultured bacterium
Lineage: Bacteria
Description: partial 16S ribosomal RNA
Rfam family: Bacterial small subunit ribosomal RNA
Source: RNAcentral
AUUGAACGCUGGCGGCAGGCCUAACACAUGCAAGUCGAGCGAGCGGCGGACGGGUGAGUAAUGUAUGGGGACUGCCCGAUAGAGGGGGAUAACUACUGGAAACGGUGGCUAAUACCGCAUACUGUCUGAUAACCCACAUGGGCUUAGCUAGUAGGUAAGGUAAUGGCUUACCUAGGCGACGAUCCCUAGCUGGUCUGAGAGGAUGAUCAGCCACACUGGGACUGAGACACGGCCCAGACUCCUACGGAGGCAGCAGUGGGGAAUAUUGCACAAUGGGCGCAAGCCUGAUGCAGCCAUGCAGCAUGUAUGAAGAAGGCCCUAGGGUUGUAAAGUACUUUCAGUAGGGAGGCGUUACCGACAGAAGAAGCAACGGCUAACUCCGUGAGAGCAGACGCGGUAAUAC